Molecule: ribosomal RNA, 1593 nt
Filed under: Escherichia coli
Lineage: Bacteria; Pseudomonadati; Pseudomonadota; Gammaproteobacteria; Enterobacterales; Enterobacteriaceae
Description: partial 23S ribosomal RNA
Rfam family: Bacterial large subunit ribosomal RNA
Source: RNAcentral
GGUUAAGCGACUAAGCGUACACGGUGGAUGCCCUGGCAGUCAGAGGCGAUGAAGGACGUGCUAAUCUGCGAUAAGCGUCGGUAAGGUGAUAUGAACCGUUAUAACCGGCGAUUUCCGAAUGGGGAAACCCAGUGUGAUUCGUCACACUAUCAUUAACUGAAUCCAUAGGUUAAUGAGGCGAACCGGGGGAACUGAAACAUCUAAGUACCCCGAGGAAAAGAAAUCAACCGAGAUUCCCCCAGUAGCGGCGAGCGAACGGGGAGGAGCCCAGAGCCUGAAUCAGUGUGUGUGUUAGUGGAAGCGUCUGGAAAGGCGCGCGAUACAGGGUGACAGCCCCGUACACAAAAAUGCACAUGCUGUGAGCUCGAUGAGUAGGGCGGGACACGUGGUAUCCUGUCUGAAUAUGGGGGGACCAUCCUCCAAGGCUAAAUACUCCUGACUGACCGAUAGUGAACCAGUACCGUGAGGGAAAGGCGAAAAGAACCCCGGCGAGGGGAGUGAAAAAGAACCUGAAACCGUGUACGUACAAGCAGUGGGAGCCUCUUUAUGGGGUGACUGCGUACCUUUUGUAUAAUGGGUCAGCGACUUAUAUUCUGUAGCAAGGUUAACCGAAUAGGGGAGCCGAAGGGAAACCGAGUCUUAACUGGGCGUUAAGUUGCAGGGUAUAGACCCGAAACCCGGUGAUCUAGCCAUGGGCAGGUUGAAGGUUGGGUAACACUAACUGGAGGACCGAACCGACUAAUGUUGAAAAAUUAGCGGAUGACUUGUGGCUGGGGGUGAAAGGCCAAUCAAACCGGGAGAUAGCUGGUUCUCCCCGAAAGCUAUUUAGGUAGCGCCUCGUGAAUUCAUCUCCGGGGGUAGAGCACUGUUUCGGCAAGGGGGUCAUCCCGACUUACCAACCCGAUGCAAACUGCGAAUACCGGAGAAUGUUAUCACGGGAGACACACGGCGGGUGCUAACGUCCGUCGUGAAGAGGGAAACAACCCAGACCGCCAGCUAAGGUCCCAAAGUCAUGGUUAAGUGGGAAACGAUGUGGGAAGGCCCAGACAGCCAGGAUGUUGGCUUAGAAGCAGCCAUCAUUUAAAGAAAGCGUAAUAGCUCACUGGUCGAGUCGGCCUGCGCGGAAGAUGUAACGGGGCUAAACCAUGCACCGAAGCUGCGGCAGCGACGCUUAUGCGUUGUUGGGUAGGGGAGCGUUCUGUAAGCCUGUGAAGGUGUACUGUGAGGUAUGCUGGAGGUAUCAGAAGUGCGAAUGCUGACAUAAGUAACGAUAAAGCGGGUGAAAAGCCCGCUCGCCGGAAGACCAAGGGUUCCUGUCCAACGUUAAUCGGGGCAGGGUGAGUCGACCCCUAAGGCGAGGCCGAAAGGCGUAGUCGAUGGGAAACAGGUUAAUAUUCCUGUACUUGGUGUUACUGCGAAGGGGGGACGGAGAAGGCUAUGUUGGCCGGGCGACGGUUGUCCCGGUUUAAGCGUGUAGGCUGGUUUUCCAGGCAAAUCCGGAAAAUCAAGGCUGAGGCGUGAUGACGAGGCACUACGGUGCUGAAGCAACAAAUGCCCUGCUUCCAGGAAAAGCCUCUAAGCAUCAGGUAACAU